RNAcentral lists this ribosomal RNA (277 nucleotides) under uncultured bacterium. Its description in RNAcentral is "partial 16S ribosomal RNA". It matches the Rfam family "Bacterial small subunit ribosomal RNA", at positions 28 to 297 of the family's 1533-position model. The record is from RNAcentral.
GACGAACGCUGGCGGCGUGCUUAACACAUGCAAGUCGAGCGGGGUCCAACCAGUGGCAACACUGGGGAAGGCCUAGCGGCGAACGGGUGAGUAACACGUGGGCAACCUGCCCCGAAGUUCGGGAUAACACCGGGAAACCGGUGCUAAUACCGGGUGCCCCCAUCUGAUUGCAUGAUCGGGUGAGGAAAGAUUCAUCGCUUCGGGAGGGGCUCGCGGGCUAUCAGCUUGUUGGUGAGGUAACGGCUCACCAAGGCGACGACGGCUGGCUGGUCUGAGA